CCCGCUGAACUUAAGCAUAUCAAUAAGCGGAGGAAAAGAAACUAACAAGGAUUCCCCUAGUAACUGCGAGUGAAGCGGGAAGAGCUCAAAUUUGAAAUCUGGCAGUUGUUGACUGUCCGAGUUGUAAUCUAGAGAAGUGUUACCAGUGCAGGACCGUGUACAAGUCUCCUGGAAUGGGGCAUCAUAGAGGGUGAGAAUCCCGUCUUUGGCACGGACUACCUGUACAUCAUGGUGCGCUCUCAAAGAGUCGAGUUGUUUGGGAAUGCAGCUCAAAAUGGGUGGUAAAUGCCAUCUAAAGCUAAAUAUUGGCGAGAGACCGAUAGCGAACAAGUACCGUGAGGGAAAGAUGAAAAGAACUUUGGAAAGAGAGUUAAACAGUACGUGAAAUUGCUGAAAGGGAAACGCUUGAAGUCAGUCACGUUGGCUAGAAAUCAGCCUUGCUCUUGCUUGGUGUACUUUCUGGUUGAUGGGUCAGCAUCAAUUUUGACCAUUGGAUAAAGGUCAUUGGGAAUACUCCCUGUGUCGUAAUACAGUGGUUGGGAUUGAGGAAUUCAGCACGCCGCAAGGCAGGGUUUCGACCACAUUCGUGCUUAGGAUGCUGGCAUAAUGGCUUUAAUCGACCCGUCUUGAAACACGG
This 637-nucleotide ribosomal RNA is filed under the name uncultured fungus. Its description in RNAcentral is "eukaryotic LSU rRNA". It matches the Rfam family "Eukaryotic large subunit ribosomal RNA", at positions 24 to 664 of the family's 3401-position model. The record is from RNAcentral. Lineage: Eukaryota; Fungi.